UGAAUACGAGACGCUAAGGCGUCGAAGUAGUGUAUGUCAUACUUCCAAGAAAAGCUUGCACUGUCAUAGAUAAAAAACGCCUGUACCAUAACCGACACAGGUGGGUAGGUAGAGUAUACUAAGGGGCGCGAGAUAACUCUCUCUAAGGAACUCGGCAAAAUAACUCCGUAACUUCGGGAGAAGGAGUGCCUUAUUCGUAAGGUUGCAAUAACAAGAUCCAAGCAACUGUUUUUCAAAAACACAGGUCUCCGCUAAGUCGUAAGACGAUGUAUGGGGGCUGACGCCUGCCCAGUGCCAGAAGGUUAAAGAAGUUGGUUAGCAAUUGCGAAGCUGAUAACUGAAGCCCUGGUGAACGGCGGCCGUAACAAUAACGGUCCUAAGGUAGCGAAAUUCCUUGUCGGGUAAGUUCCGACCCGCACGAAAGGCGUAAUGAUUUGGAUACUGUCUCGGAGAGGGGCUCGGUGAAAUAGACUUGUCUGUGGAGAUGCGGACUACCUGCACCAGGACAGAAAGACCCUAUGAAGCUUUACUGUAACUUGAAAUUGAAAUUGGACUUUAUUCGCGCAGUAUAGGUGGGAGGCGUUGAUUAUAAUCUUGUGGGAUUAUUGGAGCCAUCAGUGAGAUACCACUCUUGUAAUGUUAGAUUUCUAACUUUGAAUCAUUAUCUGGUCAAAGAACAGUUUCAGGCGGGCAGUUUGACUGGGGCGGUCGCCUCCUAAACGGUAACGGAGGCGUACAAAGGUUUCCUCUGAACGGUUAGAAAUCGUAUCUAGAGUGUAAAGGCAUAAGGAAGCUUGACUGUGAGACCUACAAGUCGAGCAGGGACGAAAGUCGGUCUUAGUGAUCUGACGGUACUGAGUGGAAAGGCCGUCACUCAACGGAUAAAAGUUACUCUAAGGAUAACAGGCUGAUCUCCCCCAAGAGUUCACAUCGACGGGGAGGUUUGGCACCUCGAUGUCGGCUCAUCGCAUCCUGGGGCGGUAGUACGUCCCAAGGGUUGGGCUGUUCGCCCAUGAAAGCGGUACGCGAGCUGGGUUCAGAACGUCGUGAGACAGUUCGGUCCAUAUCCGGUGUAGGCGUUAGAAUAUUGAGAGGAGCCUUCUUUAGUACGAGAGGACCGAGAAGGACAUACCUCUGGUGUACCAGUUAUCGUGCCAACGGUAAACGCUGGGUAGCUAUGUAUGGAGUGGAUAACCGCUGAAAGCAUCUAAGUGGGAAGCCCACCUCAAGAUAAGUAUUCUCAUC
RNAcentral lists this ribosomal RNA (1245 nucleotides) under metagenome. Its description in RNAcentral is "bacterial LSU rRNA". It matches the Rfam family "Bacterial large subunit ribosomal RNA", at positions 1564 to 2818 of the family's 2925-position model. The record is from RNAcentral.